Molecule: non-coding RNA, 30 nt
Filed under: Rattus norvegicus (Norway rat)
Lineage: Eukaryota; Metazoa; Chordata; Mammalia; Rodentia; Muridae
Source: RNAcentral
UCCUUGUGCAAGGAUUCCUUAGAUGGCAGG